RNAcentral lists this ribosomal RNA (253 nucleotides) under uncultured bacterium. RNAcentral describes it as "partial 16S ribosomal RNA". It matches the Rfam family "Bacterial small subunit ribosomal RNA", at positions 524 to 776 of the family's 1533-position model. The record is from RNAcentral.
CACGUAGGGGACGAGCGUUGUCCGGAAUCAUUGGGCGUAAAGCGCGCGUAGGCGGCCCGGAAAGUCGGAUGUGAAAUCCCGGGGCUCAACCCCGGGCCUGCAUCCGACACUCCCGGGCUGGAGGCAGGUAGGGGAGAUCGGAAUUCCUGGUGUAGCGGUGAAAUGCGCAGAUAUCAGGAGGAACACCGGUGGCGAAGGCGGAUCUCUGGGCCUUGCCUGACGCUGAGGCGCGAAAGCUAGGGGAGCGAACAGG